GGGGUGCUCGAGUGGCGAACGGGUGAGUAACACGUGAGUAACCUGCCCUUGACUUUGGGAUAACUUCAGGAAACUGGGGCUAAUACCGGAUAGUAGCUCCUGCUGCAUGGUGGGGGUUGGAAAGUUUCGGCGGUUGGGGAUGGACUCGCGGCUUAUCAGCUUGUUGGUGGGGUAGUGGCUUACCAAGGCUUUGACGGGUAGCCGGCCUGAGAGGGUGACCGGCCACAUUGGGACUGAGAUACGGCCCAG
This 249-nucleotide ribosomal RNA is filed under the name uncultured Actinomycetales bacterium. RNAcentral's name for it is "partial 16S ribosomal RNA". It matches the Rfam family "Bacterial small subunit ribosomal RNA", at positions 84 to 334 of the family's 1533-position model. The record is from RNAcentral. Lineage: Bacteria; Bacillati; Actinomycetota; Actinomycetes; Actinomycetales.